This 102-nucleotide ribosomal RNA is filed under the name Acanthosepion pharaonis. Lineage: Eukaryota; Metazoa; Mollusca; Cephalopoda; Sepiida; Sepiidae. The record is from RNAcentral.
CAGGUUCAAACACCGGUUCCCGUAUGAUCACCGAAGUUAAGCAACGUCGAGACUGGUCAGUAACUAGAUGGGCGGGCGCUUGCGAAUACCAGGUGCUGUAAG